This 384-nucleotide ribosomal RNA is filed under the name uncultured bacterium. RNAcentral describes it as "bacterial SSU rRNA". It matches the Rfam family "Bacterial small subunit ribosomal RNA", at positions 29 to 406 of the family's 1533-position model. The record is from RNAcentral.
AGUGAACGCUGGCGGCGUGCUUAACACAUGCAAGUCGAACGGUAACAGGAAGUAGCUUGCUACUUUGCUGACGAGUGGCGCACGGGUGAGUAAUAUAUAGUUAAUGUGCCCCAAAGACCGGGAUAGCCACUGGAAACGGUGAUUAAUACUGGAUACACCUUCAUAUCACAAGGUAUGAAGGGAAAUGUCUUUUCGCUUUGGGAUCAGACUAUAUCCUAUCAGUUAGUUGGUGAGGUAAGAGCUCACCAAGGCAAUGACGGGUAGCGGGUUUGAGAGGAUGAUCCGCCACACUGGUACUGAGACACGGACCAGACUCCUACGGGAGGCAGCAGUGAGGAAUAUUGCACAAUGGGGGGAACCCUGAUGCAGCAACGCCGCGUGGAG